Canis lupus familiaris (dog) is the source of this 1290-nucleotide long non-coding RNA. RefSeq lists it as uncharacterized. The record is from RefSeq and is a predicted model, not a curated record. The transcript is spliced from 3 exons. Lineage: Eukaryota; Metazoa; Chordata; Mammalia; Carnivora; Canidae.
UUGGGCAGAUAUGAAUCUAAGAGUCACAAUCAUGUCCUUAGAACUCAGUCUCAUUCUCUUUCCAGCCUCCGGUUGUGUCUUCCUGGGUGUCAACUUUAUUCUCAGAGAAGUUCUCACUAGGCAAAGGCCAGAGAAGCUGCAGACUUCAUCUAAUCUUAGUGGCCCCCAAUGGUUUCUCUUUCCUAAUAGUCACAACCAAAGCCCCAGGAUUGUGUUUCACUGGAAAGAUUUGGGUCAUGUAUGUGUUCCUGGACUAAUCAUUGUGGUUGACAGAUAUAAUAUACUGAUCCAGUAUCAAUGAAAGACCUGAAGAUGAUGAUGAUGAUGAUGAUGAUGAAGGGGAUGAUGAUCCAGCUGUAUACAACCAAGACAAUUAUAUCUGCUCCGCUGCCUUACCCUGGUUAUAAAAUCCUUAUCCCUUAUCUCUUAGAGGGGAUUUUCAGUUGUUCUUGCCUGGUGCCUCUCAGCUUUUGGAAAAUUCUUUCCCCAGCAAUCUUUCCCUUGCCCACUUCUUGAAACCAGUUACAUUCUUCCAGACACCAGUGUCCAUGAAGCAAAAAAUGAAGAUCUCUUUCUUGCCUGUAGAAUUCAAAUGGACAUUUUCAAGUGCAGCAAAGAUGGGGAAAUAAGACAUGUGUUUUCUGAGGAAAUUCAUAAGUUGCCUUUCAGCAGCCAGGAGGAUGGCUAGAGAAGAGGAUCAAGGAGACAAGUGUGAAUGGAUACGACGGACCCUCAGUUCCGCCUGAAGAAGCCAGGGUAGGGAGGAAGAGAAGAGACCAAUCAUCUCAGAGUAGGGACAUCUGUCAGCACAUUCCUGAUGAUGCAUGGGGUCUCAUUACACACAGUGUUUGAGAAAAGGCAAUGAAGUCAAUUAAGAACUGUAAUUUACUGAGAUCCUUGGGGAAUGAGAGAAGGCUGGUUAUGGAUAAUGCCCACCUCUGGUAGACUGGGGCCUGGCCUGAACUCCUUUCUUGGCUUUCACUAACAUGCUCAAAAGUCAUUGUAAAACAAAUUAUAAUGAGACAGUAUCUCUCACAUAAAUUAUGUUUGUUUUUUUUUAUAAAUUAUGUUUUAAAGUAGUAAUAGGGCGUGAUCAAAAUGACCCUAGCAAAUCCCCUAAAUGACCCACAAAGAACAGCUCUUGUACUUUUGUGUUCAUAGCCCUGUAUAAUAUCGUGGAUAUACAAGCAAUUAAUAUAUAUGUUAAUGUUCAUUAUAAAUUGAAGAUUUAUCAUGCAAAAUAUAAUUUCACAGUAUUUUUGAAUACUCUGUUUCUGGUGUUUUGUUUGU